AGUAGCUGUGGACUGGCCAGAGUGAUUGGAGGUGUUUUCCUCGCGUCCUCCAAGUCUACGGGGCCUUCGCACCUCUGAGUGCCUGAGAGCCCCGGCUUUUGCUUGGGACGGAGGUACGGGACCACAAGAGGCCCCGGGGUCGCAGGUUAUAAACGGAUGAGACCGCCCUGGGCGGCCCGUGGUCCGACUGCUCUUGGGUCGGUCCCCAGCCGUCGCGACACACACGCACAAAAUCGAGAAUAAAAACCGAAUCACACAUAGCAGGAUGGCGCAAAAAAGAAAUGCGUUUGAGUUACUCAUGUGUUUUUAAAAUUCCUUUACGUUUGUAUGCACUAAGGCCA
RNAcentral lists this long non-coding RNA (341 nucleotides) under Homo sapiens (human). RNAcentral describes it as "non-protein coding lnc-NANOS1-10:1". The record is from RNAcentral. Lineage: Eukaryota; Metazoa; Chordata; Mammalia; Primates; Hominidae.